This is a long non-coding RNA of Ananas comosus (pineapple), 1303 nucleotides long. RefSeq lists it as uncharacterized. The record is from RefSeq and is a predicted model, not a curated record. The transcript has 2 exons. Lineage: Eukaryota; Viridiplantae; Streptophyta; Magnoliopsida; Poales; Bromeliaceae.
AAUACUAAGGAUAAUUGUUCCAAAUAUGGAAAGGGUUUGCCUCUCAAUCCUGCAGCAUUAGGAUGACUCUGCAACAAAGUUUAUAAAAAAAAUAUUAUAAAGAAUUAAUUGAAAUGCUAUAUUUAAUUAGAAUUUUAAGCAAUUUAUCUUACCCAAGCUUCGAAAAUGAUCUUCUCGCAUCUAAUGUUCAUUUUGUAUCAUUCUACCCAAAGUCAUUUGUAGCAGGUUCUAACAUCUUAGAAAUUGCAUUAUACUGCCUCUUCCGAAGUUUGAAUCUUGAGUCAAUGUGGUGCUCCUUUAAGCUGGCAUCCCGUGAGCCUUUCAUGCAAGUAGUUUUUGAUGGAAUGACACACAGAAGGGCAUUACAUGCGAAAAGAUUGUUUUUGAAUCUUGGGUUAGGGCAAAUUACUUAAAAUUCUAAUUAAAUAUAGCAUUACAUGCCCUUCAUUGUGUCAUUCCACCCGAAACUAUUUGCAUGAGAGGCUCCGGGGAUGCCAACUUAAUGGAGUACCACAUACUGUGUCUCGAAAAAGACAUUAUAAUGCAAUUUCUGAGAUGUUAGGGCUUGCUGCAAGUGGCUUUGGGUGGAGUAAAUACAAAGAAGGGCAUUAGAUGCGAGAAGAUCAUUUUCGAAGCUUGGGUUAAGGAUUGAGAGGCAAAUUCUUUCCAUAUUUGGAGCAAUUAUCGGUAGUAUUUGCGAAAAAAUCGCAGAACUAGUGCUGGCGCAGAAUCUGCUGUUAAUACUACAAGGAACAUCAAAGAGGAAGAGCUAAUGACAUAUCCAUCUUACCCAAGAACCUGAUGCCAAGGUAUUUUUUAUAAAUAAAGUAGUGGUCGAGCAAACACUUCGAACGGUGGCACAUUAGGAAGAUCAAAGAAGUGAAAGUCACCGCUCGGAGAGGAUUCGAUCAAUGAGCAAUUCUGUUCAACCUUGCGCUCGCCUGAAACUUCAUUUAACGAUGCCAAUGAGCACUUAGGUCGGCUUGCUAAUUUAUUUCAAUUCAUGGCAAACAACGAGAACAAGAAAGAGAAGUUCAAAGAGAUACUAAGGAUCGAGCGAUUUGAGGACAGGCAAAUAAUGGAUGCCACUAAAAUUCUAACGAGUGAUUCGACAAAACUACAUAUUUUUUGUAUCUUACAUGGGAUUGAUUGAAGAAAUUGUGUUAUUUGGUUAAUGGACUAGUUGGGUUUAGACUUUGUUGGUUUGUCCUUUUUCAGUUCAAAAAAUUUUAGACUUUUAUAAUAUUGGUGUUCAAGCUUUUACUUUUGAAUGGUAUUAUGAUAUGUAAAAAUUAUGUCUUUA